This 315-nucleotide unclassified non-coding RNA is filed under the name fungal sp. RNAcentral describes it as "partial internal transcribed spacer region". The stretch from base 1 to 46 matches the Rfam family "Eukaryotic small subunit ribosomal RNA", at positions 1786 to 1831 of the family's 1831-position model. Lineage: Eukaryota; Fungi. The record is from RNAcentral.
AAGUCGUAACAAGGUUUCCGUAGGUGAACCUGCGGAAGGAUCAUUAACACGUACGAAAGUACACACCAACACUGAGCACCUUUUUGGUACAACCUCUCCCUUUCGAUGUGGGCUGUUAGUAUGAAUGCUGCUAUAGGACACUCAUCUAGCAGGCUCGUGUCUUUACACGAACCCACUCUGAAGGUUACCUUUCCUUAGCACAUUUUACCAUUAUCACCUAUAAUUACAUUUGUCUAAUGUAGCGGCACAGAGAAAUCCGUGCAGCUUGAUUAUCUAAACUAAGCACAACUCUUAGCAAUGGAUAUCUAGGUUCUC